Long non-coding RNA from Oncorhynchus nerka (sockeye salmon), 831 nucleotides. RefSeq lists it as uncharacterized. The transcript has 2 exons. NCBI's taxonomy places the organism in Eukaryota, Metazoa, Chordata, Actinopteri, Salmoniformes, Salmonidae. The record is from RefSeq and is a predicted model, not a curated record.
CAGUACGUCCAACCGGCCUCACAACCGCAGACCAUGUGUAACCACACCAACCCAGGACUUCCACAUCCGGCUACUUCACCUGCGGGAUUGUCUGACACCAGCCUCCCAGCUGAUGAAAUUGGUCUUGACCUGACUGCAGUUCCGCGUCGUAACCGACUUCAGUGGGUAAAUGCUCAGCUUCGAUGACAGCUGACAAGUGUUCCUCAUGGAUGAAUCCCGGUUUCAACUGUACCAGGCAGAUGGCUGACAGCAUGUGUGGGCGAGUGGUUUGCUGAUGUCAACGUUGUGAACAGUGGUUUUGGGCUGGCACGGACAGCGAACACAAUUGCAUUUUAUCGAUGGCAAUUUGAAUGACCAGCGAUACCGUCACGAGAUCCUGAGGCCCAUUGUCAUGCCAUUCAUCCGCCACCACCACCUCAUGUUUCAGCAUGUUGCAAGGAUCUGUACACAAUUCCUUGAAGCUGAAAAUGUCCCAGGUCUUCCGUGGCCUGCAUACUCACCAGACAUGCCACCCAUUGAGUUUGUUUGCGAUGCUCUGGAUUGACGUGUACGACAGUGUGUUGCAGUUCCUGCCUAUAUCCAGCAACUUCGCAUAGCCAUUGAAGAAGUGUGGGACAACAUUCCACAGGAGAUGUGUCGCGCUGCAUGAGGCAAAUGGUGAUUACACCAGAUACUGACUGUUUUUCUUAUACACAUCCCUACCUUUUUUAAAUCCACACCCCUACCAACGGAUGCAUAUCUGUAUUCCCAUAGAUUAGGGCCUAAUGACUUUAUUUCAAUUGAUGGAUUUUCUUAUAUGAACGUUAACUCAGUAAAAUAUUUUAAAUUGUU